This 1128-nucleotide long non-coding RNA is filed under the name Nicotiana benthamiana. RNAcentral describes it as "long non-coding RNA (NBEN_LNC018474)". The record is from RNAcentral. Lineage: Eukaryota; Viridiplantae; Streptophyta; Magnoliopsida; Solanales; Solanaceae.
AUCUAUGUUACAUACAAAAAAAAUAUUUAAUUUUUAUACACUUUUACGAUUGAAGGAUAUAAAUAACUACAGUCACGGGCAAAAAUUGGCCUUUGCCCAUUAAUCAAGGCCGAAAGGCCUACAUUAGAUACUUCUUGGACUUGCUGGCCCAAAUCAAGUAGGGCAAAAUACAAAAAGCAAAUUUCAUUUAUAGCCAUCCGGAAAAAAUUAAUGGCAAUAACUAGCCACAAAACAACUCAUACAAUAAACAGUCCAAAACUAAUUAAAAGGCUAGCCUACUGCUCAAUACCCUAACAUCCAUCUCCCUCAGCGUUCAUACCAUUUUCCUCAGCCGAAAAAGUCGUUGCCGAACACCGCAUUGCAAGCGCCGCCUCCGUAUUGAACUACCAAUCAACGCCCUCCGUCGUCAUCCACUCCCGUCCAAUUGGGUCAGAAUUAGCAGAAGACGUCGGCUUCUCCAGAUUGUUAGAUUUUGCCUCCCUAUCUCUUCAUUCAUUCCAAGUAUCUUAAUUCAGUUGCCUUCCAGAAUGCGCACCGUCUUAAGAACUCGAAUUCAUCUUUGUUUCCAUUGUUGAGAAUUGAAUUUGAGGAGGGAACUUAGGACCCAUUCUUGAGCUUGAAGAAUCAGUAUUGGUGCUAAGAUUAGAAGGUGUUGACUAUUUGAAAUUGAUUGAAAUGUGAGAGUGAAAGUCAUCCUUCAAAUCUGAAAAUUGCACUUACAGUUCUCCUUGCAAGUGUUGUGUGAGUUGAAGUUGGAUUGUGCAAGAAUCUUUGCUUCUGAUUGAAAUUGAGCCCCAUUUCUGACUGUUUAGGCUUCCGAAAAUUGUAAUUUUGGAUAAUGAUAUAAGCUGCAAAUUGAAGUACCUCGCAAGUCUUUGCAUCUAUUUUUCAGCAGUCCUACAGAACUAUUUUUCAGCCAAUUUCCUACACUCUUGAACAGCUUUGUUCAGCUUUAAAAUAUGUUGAUCUCCUGCAUUUUUCGAGCAAUUUUUUUUAUACUUUUAUCUUGCUUUCUGGAAGAGAUUUCGAGUAGAAAAAUUUAGAUUUAACAUGGUAAAUAGCUACUAAAUUAGGCAAGUUUUUUUCUCUUCUAAAAGUCAUUUUAGAUUAUGUAUUAGACUAGAUAGC